CCCUCAAGGCCGACCUGGUGCCCACGCCGCUGAUGUGGGCCCUCCUCCGCCACGUGAGUGAUCCGCCACUUCGAAUCUUUCGAUUCAACAAGAUAUUCGUCAUCUCUUACACUCCGGGGCGCAUAUUGUUGUCUCCAGAUUGCAAAAGCCCAGGCGCGCUCGUGUGGGACUAGGUGGUGCACGAGCACCAGGGGGGAGACUCGUGACCUGCAUCUGGCUCCACGCCGGCGUCGUCCACCUGCUCGCGAACAUGCUUAGCCUCGUGCUCGUCGGGCUCAGGCUCGAGCAGCAAUUCAGAUUCGGUACACGUUCGUCCACGGAACUGACGUGGGCCCUGCAGGUGUUUGGUUGCUUGCCUGCUUGCUCCUAGACGAGUAGAGAUCUUCCUUUGUUUGGUUGUUCUGUCGUGAUCUAUGAUUAGUGAUUAAAUCUUUGAUCCCCUUUGAUGCCAAUGCAUAAUAAUAACUAGUUGUGUUGAGAGGAUUGCGAUGUUGCUUGCUGAGUUGACAGCCUAGAACUGGUAGUGUCUGACUUCUUAGAUUGCCAUUCAGCUAUUAGUAACAGUCCAUCAUGAUCCAUAUAGCUUGUGAUCCUGACAAAGACAAUACAUCUACAUUAGAUAAGAUUUUACUGUGAUUGUGUCCAACUGUCCAUAGUGGUUCUACGCACUAUCUACAUUAAGAGCAUAUCCAGUAGGAGCCUAAAGGCUUGGAUUAUUUCAUCAAAUAACUCAGCUUGUACAAUUUUUUGUCAUCCAAACACAGAUCUAGAAGCUUGCUUUUAAUUGCUUCAAUGCUUCUUUAUACCAAAGUACAUGGGCUUGCAUAAAGAUUUCACUUCAUUCUGUUGAUGUGCCUGCUUCAUAUUAUCAUCCCUGAUAGACAUACUUUAGAGAUUCUAAUUCAUGUAUGAUGGUAUCAAAGGGGAUCAUUGUACUCAUAAUAAUAACUAGUGGAGUUGAGAGGUUUACUUUGCUCUGCAUUCUAAAGUAACAUAUUUCUGAUGCCCAUAUGCUACUUUGCUCUGCACAAAAAUAUCCUGUUAAAUCAUUGCAUGUAUUUCAGGUCUUUACAGUGGCAUUGGAUGGUCAAUAUUAGGUAAACUGCCUGGUUUGGGAGCACGUUUGGCUGCCUGGAUGAUGAUGCUGCUGCUGUCAAUUUACUCUUGAUCGAUUUCUGCCUUGACAAUGUAAGUACUUCCAUUGUUCAACAGUUUGCCGCGUUCAUCAGCUAUCCCAUUUGGUUUGUUUCCUCCAAUUAACUGCUGCUCCUGCUGCUGUUACAGCUGGCUUGGUGGCCUUGCGUGCAUCUUCUCCACCAGCGUUCUCUUCCAAAUCCUGGUAAUUAAGCCUAAUAACAUGUCCACUCACUCACUAUCCUCUAAAAUAAGCUCCCACUCCUUUUCUGAAUUGAAUUAGGUCUCUGAAAUUUAAGCUUAUAGAACCUACAGUGUCAAUCAGGUCUCUGAAAUUUAAGCUUAUAGAACCUACAGUGUCAAUUAGGUCUUUGAAAUUUAAGCUUAUAGAACCUAGGAAAAGAUUAGAAUUAAAAUAUAACAGUGUUGACUGAUCGCCACAGUGUUGUUUUGCUGUGCUUGAUAAACCUGAGACUUCUUUUUAUUGUAAUAUUGAAGUUGUUUGGUUCUGGCCUCAGCAGUAGUACACUCUAAUUUUGGUGGCCUUUAUGUUCAUUAUUUUACAGGAGCUCCAGGCCUAUUUUUUUGGAGUGUGAAGCCGUGAAGCCAAGUGUGAAGCUGUGAAGCCAAGUGUGAAGCAGUACUUAGCAAAGAGUUUUUGGUUCUGUACUUAGCAAAGAGUUUUUGGUUCUGAAGUGUGAAGCCAAGUGUAAAUUGUAAUAUUGUAAAAGUCUAAUGUAGUGUUAAUGAAUUAUAUCUGUUCUGUCCUAUUUGAAAUAAUGAUUAUGUAUGUUGAAAAGAUGUGAAAUGGAAACUUGACCAGUGGGACCCAGUUAUGAAUAUAAUCUGAGCAAUUUUGAAAUUUCUGACAUGUGUGACUGAUGUAUGGCAUUAUGACUAGUGGGACCAGCGCC
RNAcentral lists this long non-coding RNA (2048 nucleotides) under Triticum aestivum (bread wheat). RNAcentral's name for it is "long non-coding RNA (TAES_LNC002580)". The record is from RNAcentral. Lineage: Eukaryota; Viridiplantae; Streptophyta; Magnoliopsida; Poales; Poaceae.